ACGAUUAAACCGCUUGGUAGCGUUCCUUUUUGUUUGAGCUUUCUCGACCGAUCACCGAAGUUAAGCAAUGUCGGGCCUGGUCAGUACUUGGGAGGGUGAUCACCUGGGAACCCCGGGUGUUGUAGGCA
Non-coding RNA from Cordylochernes scorpioides, 128 nucleotides. NCBI's taxonomy places the organism in Eukaryota, Metazoa, Arthropoda, Arachnida, Pseudoscorpiones, Chernetidae. The record is from the annotation of a GenBank genome assembly.